AAUCCUACGGGACGCAGCAGUGAGGAAUAUUGGUCAAUGGUCGGGAGACUGAACCAGCCAAGCCGCGUGAGGGAUGAAGGUACAGAGUAUCGUAAACCUCUUUUGUCAGGGAACAAAGGCGGGGACGCGUCCCCGGCUGAGUGUACCUGAAGAAAAAGCAUCGGCUAACUCCGUGCCAGCAGCCGCGGUAAUACGGAGGAUGCGAGCGUUAUCCGGAUUUAUUGGGUUUAAAGGGUGCGUCGGCGGUCUUUUAAGUCAGCGGUCAAAACCCGGGGCUUAACCCCGACCCGGCAAUGGA
This 298-nucleotide ribosomal RNA is filed under the name uncultured bacterium. RNAcentral describes it as "partial 16S ribosomal RNA". It matches the Rfam family "Bacterial small subunit ribosomal RNA", at positions 335 to 630 of the family's 1533-position model. The record is from RNAcentral.